AACGAACGCUGGCGGCGUGCUUAACACAUGCAAGUCGAACGAGAAGCCUUCUUCGGAAGGUGGACAGUGGCAGACGGGUGAGUAACGCGUGGCAACCUACCCUUCACUACGGGACAACAGUUGGAAACGACUGCUAAUACCGUAUACGUCCUCCGGGAGAAAGAUUUAUCGGUGAUGGAUGGGGCCGCGUUAGAUUAGCUUGUUGGUGGGGUAAUGGCCUACCAAGGCGACGAUCUAUAGCUGGUCUGAGAGGAUGAUCAGCCACACUGGGACUGAGACACGGCCCAG
This 288-nucleotide ribosomal RNA is filed under the name uncultured bacterium. Its description in RNAcentral is "partial 16S ribosomal RNA". It matches the Rfam family "Bacterial small subunit ribosomal RNA", at positions 29 to 334 of the family's 1533-position model. The record is from RNAcentral.